RNAcentral lists this ribosomal RNA (1343 nucleotides) under uncultured bacterium. Its description in RNAcentral is "16S ribosomal RNA". It matches the Rfam family "Bacterial small subunit ribosomal RNA", at positions 28 to 1378 of the family's 1533-position model. The record is from RNAcentral.
GACGAACGCUGGCGGCGUGCUUAACACAUGCAAGUCGAACGGAAAGGCCCUGCUUUUGUGGGGUGCUCGAGUGGCGAACGGGUGAGUAACACGUGAGUAACCUGCCCUUGACUUUGGGAUAACUUCAGGAAACUGGGGCUAAUACCGGAUAGGAGCUCCUGCUGCAUGGUGGGGGUUGGAAAGUUUCGGCGGUUGGGGAUGGACUCGCGGCUUAUCAGCUUGUUGGUGGGGUAGUGGCUUACCAAGGCUUUGACGGGUAGCCGGCCUGAGAGGGUGACCGGCCACAUUGGGACUGAGAUACGGCCCAGACUCCUACGGGAGGCAGCAGUGGGGAAUAUUGCACAAUGGGCGGAAGCCUGAUGCAGCAACGCCGCGUGCGGGAUGACGGCCUUCGGGUUGUAAACCGCUUUCGCCUGUGACGAAGCGUGAGUGACAGUAAUGGGUAAAGAAGCACCGGCUAACUACGUGCCAGCAGCCGCGGUGAUACGUAGGGUGCGAGCGUUGUCCGGAUUUAUUGGGCGUAAAGGGCUCGUAGGUGGUUGAUCGCGUCGGAAGUGUAAUCUUGGGGCUUAACCCUGAGCGUGCUUUCGAUACGGGUUGACUUGAGGAAGGUAGGGGAGAAUGGAAUUCCUGGUGGAGCGGUGGAAUGCGCAGAUAUCAGGAGGAACACCAGUGGCGAAGGCGGUUCUCUGGGCCUUUCCUGACGCUGAGGAGCGAAAGCGUGGGGAGCGAACAGGCUUAGAUACCCUGGUAGUCCACGCUGUAAACGGUGGGUACUAGGUGUGGGGUCCAUUCCACGGGUUCCGUGCCGUAGCUAACGCUUUAAGUACCCCGCCUGGGGAGUACGGCCGCAAGGCUAAAACUCAAAGGAAUUGACGGGGCCCCGCACAAGCGGCGGAGCAUGCGGAUUAAUUCGAUGCAACGCGUAGAACCUUACCUGGGUUUGACAUGGAUCGGGAGUGCUCAGAGAUGGGUGUGCCUCUUUUGGGGUCGGUUCACAGGUGGUGCACGGCUGUCGUCAGCUCGUGUCGUGAGAUGUUGGGUUAAGUCCCGCAACGGGCGCAACCCUUGUUCACUGUUGCCAGCACGUUAUGGUGGGGACUCAGUGGAGACCGCCGGGGUCAACUCGGAGGAAGGUGGGGAUGACGUCAAGUCAUCAUGCCCCUUAUGUCCAGGGCUUCACGCAUGCUACAAUGGCUGGUACAGAGAGUGGCGAGCCUGUGAGGGUGAGCGAAUCUCGGAAAGCCGGUCUCAGUUCGGAUUGGGGUCUGCAACUCGACCUCAUGAAGUCGGAGUCGCUAGUAAUCGCAGAUCAGCAACGCUGCGGUGAAUACGUUCCCGGG